CCGGAUUUUAGUAAAAAAAAAAAAAAAAACACAUCAUUUUUGGCUGUAUAUUUAUCUUAUUUAAAAAAAUUUCAUUGGUGAUUUCUUCAAAUUGGCACAAAUAAUUUUGAUACAUUUUCAAGCCUAAUGUCAUUUUUAAAAAGAGGGGUCCAUGAACUCAUUUUCAAGUUAAAUCAGUCUGAAUGAUAAAAAUCAGUCAAAAAAUGAAUCUUUUCUUAUGUAUAACUAUUUGACAUGGUUAAAAGUAACAUUUGACAUUAGCGACGUCAUUACCUCCCCUGUUACUGUAUCAUAUGCCCUUGACAUCAGCCUCCCUAUAGAUCUUGAGGAACCUUGGCUGUCAAAAAGUUACAGUAAGUUAAGUUAUCAUUUAAAGGUGCAUAAACUAAAAUUAUGCACCUUUGACUUUAAAAAAUUUGGCCCUUAAUUAUAACAAUACUUGCGGGUGUGCUGUAGCAAUUUAAAAAGAUCUACGUGUUUCUGUUUCUAGUGCAUCUUCAUCAGGAUAAAAACCACAGGCGAGUACAAAAUGGUGAAGUGAUAAUUUGCACGUCACAAUGUCAACAAGUGGAGUAAUUAUAAAUAGAAAAUGAGAGUUGGUAUGAAAUCAAACUUUAAAAAGAAUGUUAAAUAAAAUUUGUUGAAUAAUGCUUAAUCAAAUUUUGCAGAGGUACAUGCUUCCAAUUGGCUUCCCUCAGAGUUACAUGCCUCUAAUUGGGACCGCUCUGCCAGGGGUACUGCUUCUAAUUAGCUUUUGCAGACAGAGGUAUAUAUGUACUGCUUCCAAUCGGCUUCGCAACAAGACAGAGGGUGUGCUCCCAAUUAGCUUCACUAAGAGGUACAUACUUCCAAUUGGCUUCGCUCAGACAAACAUACUACUUCCUGUGAUGUAAUGGUACGGAUUUGCAAGUCUAUACUACUUCUAUUGUUGAAAUGGUACAUAAUUGCAAUUAAUUGUCGUCCAAAUUUGCAAAAACAUAUUUUAUUUAACAUUCUUGAUCCAGUUUACUUUCAUACCUACUUUCACUCUCUAUUUAUAAUUUCUUCUUAUGGUGACAAAUUGUGAAGUGCACAUUACCAUUUGGGAAUUGUGUACUCUUCUGUAGUUUUAAUACUGAUGAGGGUGCCGUAGGAACCAAAACUUGUCCAUCUUAUAUGCAAUCAAUUUCAACAGAAAUUGGAAACUAUGAAUUUACUUAUUGAGGUUAUGCAAGAACCAAAUGCAUAAAAAAUAUUCCUCAAAAGAUCAAGUUAACAUCAACAUCAGGAAACCUCUCAUUUAUUCUUCAAUUAACAAUAACUUUCGAAAUUUACCCUAUUUUGUAAAUUUUCCAUUCAAAAGAACCCUAGCAUGCUGUUUUGGAAAAUAAUAUGGAAAUUUUCAUAUCAAACUACUUUUAGAUCUUUUACAGUCAGGAUUCUAAUUUCUUCUAUGUCAAAAUUAUCUCCCCUUUAUACCCCCUUAUUUUUUCAAUCAUAAAAUGAAAAACUUUUUCUGAAUCAGAUAACCUUUGCAUUAGUUGAUUACUGUAUACCCCUACUUUUUAUAUUCAAUUCUUUGGAUCAAAGAAACAAUUCUUCAUCAUUUAAUUACUUUCUUAACAGUUAUCCCAUUUGCAGAGGACAUGGGGCAUUGACCAGCAUAUUUCAACUGUUCUGCUUAGUUUAAAACAAGGUGUUUGAUAAAUCAAGUUUGAUUUAGGUCUAUUUAAAGACUGAAGCUGAUGAUUUGAUAAGUCUCAUUUAUAUAUGUUUGUCACCGAUGUAUGAGGAAAUAAAAAUUAUAUGAAAUAUGAAAAAGCUGAAAUUAAGAUUUUAUCAUAGCUGUUAUGUGUUUUAUGUGAACAGUGUACAGAAAAUUUAAUUUGACGUUACUAAGAAAAUUUAUAGCCUCUUAAUUUUUACCUAAUUUAAAAAUUUUAUGGAGAUUUUGCCAACAUAAUGCAAUAAGAAAUACACAAAUGUCACUAAAUUAGAAAUAAUCCCCCCUUUUUUUAUGCCUUAAUGCAUGCAAAGAGAAAUGCCUAAAGACAAGGUCCUUGACAGAAUACUGAUUCUUACAGAGAAUCCUACCCCUUGAAAAUAAGAAUAAAAAAAUUUGUAAGGGUUCCACGGAACCCAGUGUCUCGCCUACUUUUGUUGUUAAUCGCAGACUCAACAAAAAUGAGGAAAAACAUCAAUAAAAUUUGCCCUCUCGAUACUGUCUUUUGAUUGACAGAAGCUUCCAAGUUUGGUAAAAAAUCCAGGAUAGUUUAUGAAUCUAAUAAAUGUUUUAUAAACUUUAACUGCAGACUGUAUGUAAUGUUAACUGGAAGAAAA
RNAcentral lists this long non-coding RNA (2319 nucleotides) under Mytilus galloprovincialis (Mediterranean mussel). The record is from RNAcentral. Lineage: Eukaryota; Metazoa; Mollusca; Bivalvia; Mytilida; Mytilidae.